RNAcentral lists this transfer RNA (72 nucleotides) under Acidimicrobiia bacterium. Its description in RNAcentral is "tRNA-Arg". It matches the Rfam family "tRNA". Rfam says of the family: Transfer RNA (tRNA) molecules are approximately 80 nucleotides in length. Lineage: Bacteria; Bacillati; Actinomycetota; Acidimicrobiia. The record is from RNAcentral. RNAcentral also lists the same sequence under 2 other names.
GCCCUCGUAGCUCAGGGGAUAGAGCACCGGCCUCCGGAGCCGGGUGCGUAGGUUCGAAUCCUACCGAGGGCG